This 484-nucleotide ribosomal RNA is filed under the name uncultured bacterium. RNAcentral's name for it is "partial 16S ribosomal RNA". It matches the Rfam family "Bacterial small subunit ribosomal RNA", at positions 30 to 507 of the family's 1533-position model. The record is from RNAcentral.
AUUGAACGCUGGCGGCAGGCCUAACACAUGCAAGUCGAGCGGAUGAAGGGAGCUUGCGCCUGGAUUCAGCGGCGGACGGGUGAGUAAUGCCUAGGAAUCUGCCUGGUAGUGGGGGAUAACGUCCGGAAACGGGCGCGAAUACCGCAUACGUCCUGAGGGAGAAAGUGGGGGAUCUUCGGACCGCACGCGAUCAGAUGAGCCUAGGUCGGAUUAGCUAGUUGGUGGGGUAAAGGCCUACCAAGGCGACGAUCCGUAACUGGUCUGAGAGGAUGAUCAGUCACACUGGAACUGAGACACGGUCCAGACUCCUACGGGAGGGAGCAGUGGGGAAUAUUGGACAGUGGGCGAAAGCCUGAUCCAGCCAUGCGGCGUGUGUGACGAAGGUCUUCGGAUUGUAAAGCACUUUAAGUUGGGAGGAAGGGCAGUAAGUUAAUACCUUGCUGUUUUGACGUUACCAACAGAAUAAGCACCGGCUAACUUCGUG